Aspergillus heteromorphus CBS 117.55 is the source of this 141-nucleotide non-coding RNA. NCBI's taxonomy places the organism in Eukaryota, Fungi, Ascomycota, Eurotiomycetes, Eurotiales, Aspergillaceae. The record is from the annotation of a RefSeq genome assembly.
GCCUUUAUAGCUCAGUGGUAGAGCGCUUGACGUACGUCAUUACCCCAAUUAACUUUCUUACUAAGUCCUUACUCUAACAUUUCCCCAGUUGUAUCAUCUUAGGAUAUCAAGAGGUCCGUGGUUCAAUCCCGCGUGGAGGCA